AUGAACCCAGCCGAAGGGGCAGCCGAGGAAGGGGCAGUGCCCGAUUCAGAGGUGGAUGCCUUUUUCCGAACAGCCAGGGAAGAGAGCAACAAGCCCCAAAGGCGAGACAGCAGAAGAAGCAGCAGCAGAAGCCCAGCUGAGCCCAGAUUGCCACAACUGGUGGAGUCCUCCCACACCAGAAGCCAAGGCAAGCCACGGGGGGAAGCAACUUCCAGAGAAGUAUUCCAAACAGGGAAGACUACAAAAUCCAAACAUCUUUCCAGUUGGCACCUAUGGACGAGGCCUGAGGGCCCAAAGCAAGUCGUAUUAAAUUGGGAGCAAAAAAAGAAGAAGCCAUCUUCUAGUCACACAGUAAAAACACUUUCCUAGCCCCUACAGACUUCAAAGCGUGCAGCAAAGUGUUAGGAGAAAGAGACCCAAACUUAUGGGCUGAUAUGCAUAGAUAUCACUUUCUUCUUGGGAUUCACCAAAAAUAUUCUGCCGCCUACGGCAAAGAGCAUGAUAGUGGCCUGCCCUCUGGCCUGGCCACUGAACCUUACUUUAAGGCCAUUUUCUCCUCUUGACUUGGUCCUCCAGCAGAAGGGGAUGGCUCUGGAACACUGGGUCGUAAUCUCCCUCUUCCACCUGAGGUUGUUGCGUCACUCCUACUUGGGUUAUCCCUGGGUUCACUGCUUCAGAAUGAACCUAUCUUCAAAAUUACAAACAUGCUGUCCAAUUGUAUCUUGGCAUUAGCGGUAUAAAGGAACAUGAUGUGCAAAUUGCAUUAGAGGCAUGCCAUCUAAAAGUAAAGUCCUAACUAAUACACCCACAGGCUGCUGGCGGUUGGGAUGAGAUGGAGAGAGGUUUUGUUUAUGGGAUGUCCGCUUUGGAGAAACACUUGUGUCCGUAGAAAAAUCUGGAUGUCAAACUUGUCAUUGACAGAGUUCUGUCAUUGGUAGGGUCCAAAACAGAAUAUUCUGGGAUUGGACUGAGGCUGCUUUAGAAACUCUGGAUCCAAAGACUCUCUACAGCCAAUGGGCCCAAGAACUAGUACUUUUAACUGUUCCAGUUUGGUUAUUUUCACCUGCCCCUUGCUUUCCCAAGCCACUUCCAAUUGCACAGUUAGAUCUGUUUUGCAUCUAUAAUCUGAAGCUGAGGAGAGUCAGUGCUGAACUGACAAGCAAAUGAGUUCCAUGGUGGAAGAAAUGUGAAGUCCAAAUGUGACAAAUGUUCCUUUUCAGCUUCCUUUAAAAAAAAACUCCCUUUAAAAAACAACAUCAUCUUUUGAAGCAUUGACUUGAAGAAUAUGGGACAUGGGGUGGAGUGGGGGAGGAUUCUACUAUUGCAUACAGAGUAUAGUUCUCACCCAUCUCCAUAGUCAGUUUGGAAAAAUUUUACUUGGUUUCAGUGACUGUACAUGUUCUCUGAUGGUCUUGCCUGCUUGAUGUUCCUCCCUCUGUCUUUUUCUUUUUAAAUGUACUGUCCAGAUCCAGAUAGAAUUUUGGGAAACACAAAGGCUUGCUUUAUAAUUUUUUUAUGUGUUUAGUUGGUUUUAGUAAAGGUCUUACUUAACUGUGACCUACAGGUUUAGAGCAGUUGGACUAAUGUUUCUAUGGGCACUGUUUACCUGUUGAGAAAUUGCUCUCCAACAUAUCAAGAUGAGGUGUUUCCAGAUUUAAUUUUCCUUCUAAUCAGUGGACAGGUAUUGAAGAUGGAAUAUUAAUGUCAAAUAUUGAGGCUGGAACAGAGAAACAGGUAUGCCUUUACCACUGGCCUUUGAAUAUUCCACCUGGAAUAUUUUUUAAUGAAACAUUUAUUAUCCAGAUUAAUAAAGUAACCAUAUUAAAAUAGUUCA
Molecule: long non-coding RNA, 1834 nt
Filed under: Pogona vitticeps (central bearded dragon)
Lineage: Eukaryota; Metazoa; Chordata; Lepidosauria; Squamata; Agamidae
Description: lncRNA (ENSPVIG00000022123.1)
Source: RNAcentral